GUGCUGACUUUGGCAACACAUAUACUAAAAUUGCAACAAUACAGAAAAGAUCAGCACAGCUCCUGCACAAGGGUGACAUACAGAUUCCAGUUAGAUUGGAUUA
This 103-nucleotide small nuclear RNA is filed under the name Marmota marmota marmota (Alpine marmot). The record is from RNAcentral. Lineage: Eukaryota; Metazoa; Chordata; Mammalia; Rodentia; Sciuridae.